RNAcentral lists this ribosomal RNA (680 nucleotides) under uncultured bacterium. RNAcentral describes it as "bacterial SSU rRNA". It matches the Rfam family "Bacterial small subunit ribosomal RNA", at positions 632 to 1320 of the family's 1533-position model. The record is from RNAcentral.
ACUGUAUGUCUGGAAGUUAUUGGGAGGUUAGUGGAAUUUCAGGUGGAGCGGUGAAAUGUGUUGAUAUCUGAAAGAACGCCGAAAGCGAAAGCAGCUAACUACAAUAAACUUGACGGUAAGGGACGAAAGCUUGGGGAGCGAACGGGAUUAGAUACCCCGGUAGUCCAAGCCGUAAAUGAUGCAUGCUAGAUGUUUUGGACCCUCGUGGUCUGGAGUGUCGUAAUCUAACGAGUUAAGCAUGCCGCCUGGGUAGUAUAUUCGCAAGAAUGAAACUCAAAGGGAUAGGCGGGGGAACACACAAGCAGUGGAUUGUCUAGAUUAAUUGGAUAAUAAGCCAAGAAUCUUACCUAGAUUUGACAUGUACUAUGUCCUAUGUGAAAGCAUAGUAGUCCGAGCAAUCGGACAUGGUAUACAGGUGGUGCAUGGUCGUCGUCAGCUCGUGCCGCAAGGUGUCUAGUUAAGUCUGGAAACGAGCGCAACCCUCAUCUUUAGUUAGAAUGUCUAAAGAGACUGCUCGGGUAACCGAGAGGAAGGAGAGGAUGACGUCAGAUCCUCAUGCCCCUUACAUCUAGGGCUUCAUAGACAAUACAAUGGGUGAUACAACGAGAAGCUAAGCCGCGAGGUGGAGCAAACCUCUAAAAUCAUUCCAAGUUCGGAUUGUAGUCUGGAACUCGACUACA